Terrapene triunguis (Three-toed box turtle) is the source of this 513-nucleotide long non-coding RNA. RefSeq lists it as uncharacterized. The record is from RefSeq and is a predicted model, not a curated record. NCBI's taxonomy places the organism in Eukaryota, Metazoa, Chordata, Testudines, Emydidae. The transcript is spliced from 3 exons.
CAGCCUGCCCGGCCUGUUUUUAUACCUCGGAGGUGGAGCCCUCGGCUGCCAGAGGGGGGCCAGGCUGCAGUUAGAUCAAUGGCACAUUGAAACAUUAUGCUGGUACCAUAGAACAAAUAUACCAACUGUGUCCCAAAGCCCUUCACUGCUGGAGAGCUCAGCCAUCAAAGGCCCGACGCUGUGUCUCAGAGCAGUGCACACUUCGGAUCAAUCCCCUCAUGGAAGUUAUGUGCUGUCCAGUGAUGAAUGGGGCAUGUUAACCUUCUGCUCUUCACACUCGGUCCACACCUGGCUGGGACCUCAGCCCCUGCACCACUGCGCAGUAGCUCCUGAGCUCAGCGGACCCACAACCCUGUUCUGGAAUUGGAAACCACGCUGUGGGGAGGGAAUGUCAUGGAAAGUCUCAGCUGGAAGGUGUUUUACUGAGGAGAGGAGGUUGAUAGUUGUGGUUUAUUCUUAAGUGGAUAUUCAGCCUCAUGACAAACCCAUUGCACAAUAAAGCGUUCCCAUCUA